ACACAUGGAUGAAUAUAAAUCUUUGUAAUUUUGGUGGCAGUGUAGCUGUCACAGGAAAAUGUGUUUCUUUUGUACAGAGUUUUUUGUUACUGCAGAGAAAAUGUCUUGUUUUAAAUGUCUGCAAGUUCUUUGUCAUGUUACUACCACCUGCUGGUCACAUUACAUAUUGCUCUAAAUAGUCAGCAUGCAGCGUCACAUGAUCAGAUACAGGAAAUGUGCUGCCAGGAAAACAGACGCAGAAAACGCACACUGGACGGUGAAAACAAUAAAAUAGACGCUAAGGGACUGUAACAACUCCUAAAUUACUGGUCAGAAGGCGCAUACGUUUUUCACGGUGUUUGCUGUGCGAAGAAGAAAAUAAAUGCUGGUCAACAUCAGUUGGAGCGUGGCUUAUCUGUACCAGUAGAAAACUUUGGGAGCAGUUAUAGU
Long non-coding RNA from Chelmon rostratus (copperband butterflyfish), 429 nucleotides. RefSeq lists it as uncharacterized. The record is from RefSeq and is a predicted model, not a curated record. NCBI's taxonomy places the organism in Eukaryota, Metazoa, Chordata, Actinopteri, Chaetodontiformes, Chaetodontidae. The transcript is spliced from 2 exons.